Molecule: non-coding RNA, 4447 nt
Organism: Phasianus colchicus (ring-necked pheasant)
Lineage: Eukaryota; Metazoa; Chordata; Aves; Galliformes; Phasianidae
Source: RefSeq, a predicted model, not a curated record
AGGUGCUCAAGAUCAGGUUGGAUGGGGCCCUUGGCAGCCUGAUCCAGUCAGUGGCAGCCCAGCCCACAGCACAGGGUUAAAACUAAAUGAUCUACAAGGUACCUUCCAACCUAAGCCAUUCUAUGGCUCUGUGAUCUUCAAAGAGCCCAACUGCUGUUCUCACAAACUGUAGGCACUAGGCAGUGGCGUGACAAAGCCUCUCUUAAAAUACUGUUGAAAAUGGGAUUGACAAACUCAGGUAAUUUCUGUGCUGUUGCUGAAUAUUUUACCAUAUAUAUAUACACACACACUGAAGUGUGUGUGAACUGUUUAGUUUUGUAGUUGUAAUCAGAUGAGACAUACAAAGGAGAUGAAACGGCAUCAUCUUUUUUCAUGUAUUUGUAAUAAAAUAUUGAAAGAAUACAUUAAGUAAUGAAGUGUAAGAGAAAACUAGACUAAGAGUCUAGUGAGUUAUAAAUAAUGGUGAUAAUAAAGAUGAGUUAUAAAUAAUGGUGUGUUGACUAGAAAAAUACACAGCUUUCCAGAAUUAUUGCUAACUAGGGAAGAAUUCAGCAGCACCAAUUUUCUUUUCAGCAUACAGAUCUUAGAGAAUGAGUAGUGAGGAUACUGUGUGAUGAUGGUCUGAUGGAGAAUUUACAUUCUAAGGUUUGCUUGGCUGGCCUAGCAAAAGGUACCAUCUCUCCUGCAAAUCCUGCCUCUUUAUGAUACCUGAAAAAACAAGUAAUUAGCACCUUCAGUAUAUUAAUUUAUUACGGAAAGGUUUAACGUCAUAAUCCAACCUGCAGCUGGAUAGCUACAAUUAAUUUCAAAGCAAGCUACUACUUUUUUGCUCAAAUCCUACAGAUUUAAAACUGCAAGCUCAGAGGCUGUGCCUUCAAAGUCCUUGAAUGAAGGUUGGAAGGGAGACAUCUUCCAAAAAAAGCCCGUUAUAAAAUUAGUUAUAAUCAGUGACAAAAUUAGUUGGGUCCUCUCUAGCGUUACAUUGCAGCUGCACGCAUGCAGAACGCACGGCGAGCCUCAGCUCGGAACUCCCAGCAGUUCACGUAUUGGCCUUCAGGUUGCUGUCAGGGGUUCCAUUUUUAGCUGUUGUGAAGAACCAGCCUUUCUCCAGUUUCACAAGACUGCAGGUGCAGCUCUGUUACGUACAGACCAGUCAGCGAUGGGCAGCGAGGAAGCAGAAAGGACAGCAGGCACGUCUGCUAAUCAAAACGCAGACACGUAUGAAACGCUCCCACUACUCUGAAUGUGGAACUUUGUACCUUCAUAAAAUGAGCUCUGCCAAGAUUCCUCCCCUCCACACCACUCGUGCCAGACACUGAACUCAAACGACCUCAGCCCUAUCUACUUCAACACAUCUUCCGCACAGCUAAGCGCACUUGAAGGAGUUCGCGCAGAACCUGUAACACGACCAGCGCAACUUUUCAGGGUCGUUGUCGGGUGCGAGGCUCGCACACAGCCGCCCCGGGCACGGCUCCGGGCACGGCCCCGCCUUUCCCCACACGGCCGCUCACAAAAUGGCAGGUGAGGCGCGGCGCUACGCGCGGCCGCCCACGCGGUGGAGCCGCAGCGAGGAGGGCGCGAGCGCGGCAGGUGGAGGGCGGCGGGCAGGGAGGGCAGCGAAACGCGCGACGAGGGGAGCCCGGGGCAGCCCGGUCCGCGCACUCACGAUCUCCAGGAAGAUGAAGGCUCCCGAGUAGUAUUACAUGACAAGACCAAUGACCUGCCUCACUGAGGACAACGUCUGCAGUCCUAGCAGAAGGCUUUCAUGGAACUGAGUGUGUUGAGGGUGACUGUUCCCCAUGAGCAGUGUCAUUAGGGUUUACCUGGCCGAAGAACUGCAUCCAGUCAACAUGUGAAGAGCAACUGGUUAUUCUACCCUGCAAAGCAAAGCUGACCAGAUUCCAGCUGGAAGAGCCUGUCUGCUACAAGCCAGGAGAGAUUUGGAGACAGCUGGUGCCCAGGGAGCGAGACGGCUGCUCAGUACCAAAAUCUCAGAAGGAUCUUGGAUUGAGAGGCCUUCUGGGCUCCUUGUGAGGUGCUAAACAGACAUUGUACCUUGUUUUUUAAACGUCCCUCAACUGCAUGCAACUUCUGCUUACUCAGGUAGUACUGCUUUAUAUCUUCAUGCUUCCAAUUUUUUUUGCUCUUUGCAAAAAUUUACUGGCUCGUGUUUCAAGCACAUGAGAAUACUUCUCUGACAGUUAGUCUGCUGGCUUUAAUUUUACUGAAGAUGCCUUUGACUUUACUCAUAGGGCAUCAGACUUCCUGAGAAGCCUGAGACAGAUACCUAUUGUUAUUUUCCAUACAAUCAUUCAGAGAAGCUGUCCAAAAAAGUAAGGCAUUCAGAUAUGUAUUUAGAGAUGCGAUAGAAAGUGAAAUACUCAGUGUGGUUUGUAAUUGUGUUUAUCUAAGUGCAGCCUUUUCCUGUGUCAGAACAGAUUUUUGCAAACAGGAGGGUAAUGAUUCAGUUCCAGGGGAAGACUGACAAAAUAAACCCCGGCUUCUGCUGACCUGAUGUAGUGCUGAACAGUGCCCUACCCUGGGAAAAUAUUUCCUGCUUCAUUUUCAUAAAUAUUUAUGUAAUUCCUUCUGGGAAACAUGUCUUCUUCAGAAAACUGAGCACGCUGCUCCCUGACACAAAUUUAACUGUUUGUUUACACAUGAGAGAUUGUGGUCAUUUAACCGGCCUUGGAUUUUUACACUCUUAUCUCAGGCAUUUCUGUCUUUUAAAACUCUCCUAUACUCCUUCUAGAAAUCACAUAAUGCCUUGUGUUGUAGUGCUUAGUCUCUGAAUUUCAAAUAUCCUCAGUGCUCACUCUAGGAUUGGUAUUUUGGGCUGAAGAAAGGAGAGCCAAACGUGAUGUUUAGGAUGGAAUCACGUUUCUGUCCUACCCAGCUGUGGCCUUCCUGUGCUGCUUUGAGGCUGCUCUCUAAAAAAAUUAAUGCAAGCAAUUAAACAGGGAAUUGCAUGACUAAUGGAAGUAUUUAUAUUUAGAAACAGACCUAAACACAUUUAUAUGAACUGAAAUAGAACUGGCAUGCUGUCUUUUGCAUUUGCUUUCUAAGCUUCUAGCUUAGCAGUAAAUUGGGCAUGAGUUGCUGCAAGAAAAUAGGAAUAUUCUCCAUUAUGACAAAAUAAAAAAGGUUGAUGUUGUUCUCUUCAACAUUUUAAGAGAACAGAAGAGUGACUGAUUUUGAAGCACACACUGCUGAAGCCCUGUGUGAAGUCUUGUGCUCGUGCAAAACUGAACCUUGCUCACCAGCUCACGUUCAACCCUUUUAUGAAGUGGUGAACCCUUUAGGGUGCUGCAGAGAAAGCUGUGUGAUGAUAGGAGACAUUCACAGGAGAAAGCAAACAUCGAGCUUGUGCCCAGGGUAUAAUGCACGUGAGUAAAUGGUACCCAUGUCCUGUGCUGACCUGUGCAUUUCGUAUGAAAUCUGUUUGUCUUGAACACUGACUAAAAGCACUAUCAGUCCUAUAGGGGGUCUCAGUUCUUAGUCUUCUGUUCCUGUCAUUCAGCUGUGGUGGUUUGCAUUACUCAUUUGACCUUCUAAUUGAACACACAUAUUUAUAGAUCAUAUAGAUUUAUGGAGUGUUUCUUCCCUCCCCCCCCACCCCUUUCUUCACUUCAAACUCUGCCACAUACUUUCCAAACACAGCUAGAGCCAAGAAGCUUUUUCCAUUUUCUUCAGCACUUUGCAAAAAAAGAGACAAAUGAAACCAGGAAACUAGGGAGCAGCUACCUGCCCUGGAGGAUUCAUGAACUCCUCUGGUAAAAGGCAAAAGCAUGGCUAUAAGGAAGCUGGCAGGAGGGGGACAUAAUAGAAAGGAUACACAGGAGGUCAGAGGAAUCUUGAAGACUUCCUUCUUAGCCCAUGGGCAUGUAAUAUGUUCACAGUUUGAAACAGGCAUUCCUGACCUUUUUUCUGCUGUCCUGCUGAACCCCUCCAGUGAUGACAGAGACUGCCUAUUGCUUCUGAGGGACUGCCUUGCUUCUCUAAGUGUCCCUGCUCUGCUCACUGCCUGAAGCCUGCUACCAAAUGUGUGCAGACAUCUGCUGUCCUGCUCAGUGAACUCUCUCCUACCUUGGUACUGCUUCCCUGGUGCCUGGGGAUGCACAGUAUUGUGUAACAUGUAUCGUAAUGUUGGUUUCAUGUCUGUGUGGGUGUGUUUCUGGCAAGAAAAAGAAAAUUUUGAACCUCAUUCUCCCACCUUCCUACUUACUGUACUGGCUGCCAGAAUGUUUGGCAGCGAAGGGGAGGAGGGUGAUGGAAGUGGCAUAUUUUCUGCUUGACAUCCUAACAAACCCAAAGGAAAAAAACCUUCACCCAGUCCAUACUCAGAAAGCGGUAUUGUUAAACUUGAUAACGAAUUAAACAUUUUACAACUCCAGGUUUUGUGUAAGGAAGAGAGAUUAAAAAAGGAAAAUAGCUGGGCUUGUUCAGC